RNAcentral lists this unclassified non-coding RNA (193 nucleotides) under uncultured Sebacinaceae. RNAcentral's name for it is "sequence contains ITS1". The record is from RNAcentral. Lineage: Eukaryota; Fungi; Basidiomycota; Agaricomycetes; Sebacinales; Sebacinaceae.
AUGAAACUUCAGUCGGCUUGUUAUCUGUGCUGGUGGAAACACAAGUGCACGUUAACAGGUCGCAAAUCCACACACCUGUGCAUCCUAUGACUCCAAGUUGCUCAUUGUUUGCCUUUACAGGCCGACCAACUUGAGAGUAUUUUUACACAAUCUUGAAUGUAAUGGAAUGUCUAUUGUGCAUAAUGUACAAAAA